RNAcentral lists this unclassified non-coding RNA (242 nucleotides) under Hevea brasiliensis (rubber tree). The record is from RNAcentral. Lineage: Eukaryota; Viridiplantae; Streptophyta; Magnoliopsida; Malpighiales; Euphorbiaceae.
GCCGUCGUGGGUGCGGAGGUUGUCCUCCGUCGCGGGAUUGAGCCAUGGAUCCGGUCCUCCGCCGCCGCACUCCCCUGAUCCUCCUCAUCUCCUUCCUCCUCCUGAUCGUUUGCUUUCCAACGGAGGCCGAGGUCAUCACCCUCACUCCGGAGACCUUUACUGACAAGGUGAAGGAGAAAGAUACUGUGUGGUUUGUGCAGUUCUGUGUUCCUUGGUGCAAGCACUGCAAGAACCUGGGAACA